This 437-nucleotide ribosomal RNA is filed under the name uncultured bacterium. Its description in RNAcentral is "partial 16S ribosomal RNA". It matches the Rfam family "Bacterial small subunit ribosomal RNA", at positions 355 to 781 of the family's 1533-position model. The record is from RNAcentral.
UGGGGAAUAUUGCACAAUGGGCGCAAGCCUGAUGCAGCCAUGCCGCGUGUUGUGAAGAAGGCCUUCGGGUUGUAAAGCACUUUCAGCGAGGAGGAAGGUGGUGAACUUAAUACGUUCAUCAAUUGACGUUACUCGCAGAAGAAGCACCGGCUAACUCCGUGCCAGCAGCCGCGGGUAAUACGGAGGGUGCAAGCGUUAAUCGGAAUUACUGGGCGUAAAGCGCACGCAGGCGGUUUGUUAAGUCAGAUGUGAAAUCCCCGGGGCUCAACCUGGGAACUGCAUUUGAAACUGGCAAGCUAGAGUCUCGUAGAGGGGGGUAGAAUUCCAGGUGUAGCGGUGAAAUGCGUAGAGAUCUGGAGGAAUACCGGUGGCGAAGGCGGCCCCCUGGACGAAGACUGACGCUCAGGUGCGAAAGCGUGGGGAGCAAACAGGAUUAG